This 3046-nucleotide long non-coding RNA is filed under the name Pan troglodytes (chimpanzee). RNAcentral describes it as "long non-coding RNA NONPTRT006724". The record is from RNAcentral. Lineage: Eukaryota; Metazoa; Chordata; Mammalia; Primates; Hominidae.
CCCGCCUCGGCCUCCCAAAGUGCUGGGAUUACAGGCGUGAGCCACCACACCCGGCCUGUUUGUUUUUGCAGGGAGGGCAAUGGCCAGAAGGAGGGGGCAGCCAGAAAGCUCUCCCAUUCUUUCUGGGGUCACAUGCAGGUGAUGGGUGUCCGACCUUUGGGAAGAAAGGGGAGAGGGGAUCAGAUAUUCACAUACCUGUGUGGCUGCUCUCAGCUUGGGCGAGGAGGGGAUUAACGGCACCCAUGGGGGUUCCAAAGAUGUGGGUAGAAGGGAGGCUAAAGGUAGAGCCAGCCAGAGAAAACACCUAAGGGAGGGAGGUAGAAUCCCCUGGCGGUUAUUCUUGGAUCUAGAGCACAACUGUGUGUACCGGGGUGCAGGGGGCCGGGUGUGCUGGGGAGCAGAGGGGUCCAGAGCCCGGAGGGUGGUCUGAUGGCAACUCAGCCCAGUUGCUCCAAUUCCCAUGGAAGGCUGGGGUCCUCUGUCAGUCUGUCCCCAACCUGCCCAGGGAAGGAGGAGCCCAGGAGUCAGGUCUCACCUGAGUGGUGGAGAUAGAAGCAGAAGAGGAGGGGAGGGUGCUGGUGAACGGGGAGCGGCUGAGGCGGGGCAGGGCCGAGGUCCCUGGGGGCCCCAGGAGGCUGGAGGAGAGAGGGGUGCUGCAGACAGCCCGCAGCAUCCCGCCACUGUGGGAGAUGGGGUCCUUAUUACUGGUGUAGAUGCCUGCAGGCACAAGGACAGAGGGAAGCACGUGGUUACUCUCCACCCCAGACUCCUGCUCAGCCAGGUGGCUGACAGCCCCUCCCCAGCUCGAGUGCUCCCCGGGAUCUGGCUACAUGACCCAGUCUAACCCUCUUGCUGCAAAGAUGUCACUUCCUGCCUGGGUGACAUCUGCUUGCUGCGCCUGCUUGUUAAACUGCCCUGCCGAGGGCUACGGAAUUCCUAGCUUUUCUAAUCUCCCUCCCAAAACUUGGUAAAACCUUCUGACAAUCUGUCCCCAAUCCUUUCUACUCCACGCAUGCAGAGGGGGAUGUCCUGAAGGUGACUGUCUCCUCCGUGCUCUAUCUUUUGGAGCAGUAUCCAUCCCAUUUCCUUCUAAGUGCAUGUGUAAGCUCUGUUCCUCACUAGACUGGCUGGGCCCUGAAAUGCCCUCUGUCCCCAGGGGUCACUAACCUGCCCCUAGUAAGGGGGACUCCAGGCUCAAGCUGGGCAAGCUCCCAGAAGGCCCAAAGGUUCGGGAGGACAGACCUCCCAGGCCGGAGCUGACCAGGGAACCUCCAGAGAAGGGUGAGGCAGCAGUGGCGGUAAAGCCAGCCAGCUGGGCACUGGGCAAGGAUGGGGCAGCUGGGCCCCCAGUGCCCUCCUUGUUCCGGCUGCCCUUGGGACGGCCUGGCCCAUGGCGGCUCCUCUUGCUGGCUUUGUGCUUCUUCUCCUUCAGGCCUGUCUCAGGGGUCUCAUCAGCAGGCACAGGGGUGGCACUCAGUGCGGGCAUCCGUUUGUGGGUGCCUGCCGAGGCCCCAGACCCCGUGACGUGGGGAGACUUAUAGUCCCCAGGGGAGGGCGCCCGGGCCCGGCCUGAGCUGGAGGUGGUGGUGGAGAAGCGCAUGAUGGGCCCAAAGCCAGAGAAGACCACCUUCUGCUCAAAAAGGCUAUGGCUGGAAGACUUUUUCCCCUUUGAGUCCCUGCUGCUCUCAGAGGUCUCCUGCGUGCUGGCCUCGUGGUGGGAGGAAGAGGAAGCCGAGGAGGAGACCUGAAGGAGAGGAGAGAGGAAGGUUCAACACCAGGCAGGGAAGAUGGAAGCCAAGAGGGAGAUGAAAACAGUCCCAGAGUCUGAAGAGAUUUACUCAUUGGUCCAUUCAUUCACUGAAUACUUAGGGCGUCUAAGAAGGCUGGACCUAUGCUGGAAGUGGCGAGGCAGAGAAGAGGACCCACAGGAGAAUGGGCUUCUCUGGUGCCAUCCUGGAGCCCUCCAGCUACUACCCCAAACUUCGGCCCCCUGGCUUUCCACCCAUUCUCUGACCACCUCAUGCUCUUCCUAGACAACCUGAGAUUGCACACACUAAGCGUUUGCCAGGACAGCCUAUCCUUACUCUUCCUGGGAAAUUUCUCAUCCUUUAAAAUCCAGCUUGGAAGUCCCUCUUCCCUGAAGCCUCCCUAAAUACCUCAGGUGGAACAAGACAUUCUGUCCCCUUAUUUCCAGAGAACUGUGCACACAUGACCACAUGUCAACAGCUGCCACUCUGCACUGAAAUGUUCUGUCCUAUCUGAGGCACCAGAAACCAAAGAGCGCGGCAGGGUGGUGGUUGAAGGAGCGUGGGCUCUAAGUCGGGCAGAGCAAGGUAUGAGCCUGGUGGGCUCUGCCCUUCACCGCCAUGUUUUUGUUUUUUCUUAAUUUAUUUUUGAGAUGGAGUUUCACUCUUGUUGCACAGGCUGGAGUGCAAUGGUGCGAUCUCGGCUCACUGCAACCUUCAGUCACCUCCCAGGUUCAAGUGAUUCUCCUGCCUCAGCCUCCCAAGUAGCUGGGAUUACAGGCACCAGCCACCACACCCGGCUAAUUUUGUGUAUUUUUAAUAGAGGCAGGGUUUCACCAUGUUGGCCAGGCUGAUCUCAAACCCCUGACCUCAGGUGAUCCACCUGCCUCGGACUCCCAAAGUGCUGGGACUACAGGCAUGAGCCACCACGCCUGGCCUCACUGCCAUGUUAUACUGUGCAAAGUCUCAACGUCGAUGAGUGUCAGUAUCUUUACAGGGAGCACUAUGCAUAUGUGGUGAGUUGGAAGCAGCAUGAUGCCAGAUACAUGGUAUAGGGUCAAUAAAUGAUGAGACGUCCAGUGGCAGCAGCUGCAGAGACAGUGCUGUGGGCAGGUGAAGAGCACAAGCCUUCAAGCCAGACUGCAUUGGAAUCUCAGGUCUACCACUUUACUAGCUGUGUGCUUUUAGGCAAAUUACUUAACCUCCCUGUGCCCCAUCAUCUUCAUAUAUUAAAUGGGGUUUAUAAAUUUCCAACCUAAUUGGAUUAUUUUGAGUAUUAAAUGGACUAAUCUCCAUAUGCC